RNAcentral lists this ribosomal RNA (253 nucleotides) under uncultured bacterium. Its description in RNAcentral is "partial 16S ribosomal RNA". It matches the Rfam family "Bacterial small subunit ribosomal RNA", at positions 524 to 776 of the family's 1533-position model. The record is from RNAcentral.
UACGAAGGGGGCUAGCGUUGCUCGGAAUCACUGGGCGUAAAGCGCACGUAGGCGGCUUUUUAAGUCAGGGGUGAAAUCCUGGAGCUUAACUCCAGAACUGCCUUUGAUACUGAGGAGCUAGAGUCCGGAAGAGGUGAGUGGAACUGCGAGUGUAGAGGUGAAAUUCGUAGAUAUUCGCAAGAGCACCAGUGGCGAAGGCGGCUCACUGGUCCGGUACUGACGCUGAGGUGCGAAAGCGUGGGGAGCAAACAGG